AGAGUUUGAUCAUGGCUCAGGAUGAACGCUAGCGGCAGGCCUAAUACAUGCAAGUCGAGCGGCAAGUCGAGGAGUAAUCUAAGACCUAGAGCGGCGCACGGGUGCGUAACGCGUAUGCAACCUACCUUAUACUGGGGGAUAGCCCGGAGAAAUCUGGAUUAAUACCCCAUGGCACAUAUUGAUGGCAUCUGAGAUAUGUUAAAGAUUUAUUGGUAUAAGAUGGGCAUGCGUCUGAUUAGCUAGUUGGCGGUGUAACGGACCACCAAGGCGACGAUCAGUAGGGGUUCUGAGAGGAAGGUCCCCCACACUGGCACUGAGAUACGGGCCAGACUCCUACGGGAGGCAGCAGUAGGGAAUAUUGGGCAAUGGUCGGAAGACUGACCCAGCCAUGCCGCGUGCAGGAAGACGGCCCUCUGGGUUGUAAACUGCUUUUAUCUGGGAAGAAAAAGGCCAUGCGUGGCAAAUUGCCGGUACCAGAUGAAUAAGCACCGGCUAACUCCGUGCCAGCAGCCGCGGUAAUACGGAGGGUGCAAGCGUUGUCCGGAUUUAUUGGGUUUAAAGGGUGCGUAGGCGGCUGAUUAAGUCAGCGGUGAAAGACUUCGGCUUAACCGGAGCAGUGCCGUUGAUACUGAUUGGCUUGAGUGUUGGAGGGGUACAUGGAAUUGAUGGUGUAGCGGUGAAAUGCAUAGAUACCAUCAGGAACACCGAUAGCGAAGGCAUUGUACUGGCCAACAACUGACGCUGAGGCACGAAAGUGUGGGGAUCGAACAGGAUUAGAUACCCUGGUAGUCCACACUGUAAACGAUGAUUACUCGCUGUUAUGGUGUAUAC
RNAcentral lists this ribosomal RNA (831 nucleotides) under aquatic bacterium R1-C2. RNAcentral's name for it is "bacterial SSU rRNA". It matches the Rfam family "Bacterial small subunit ribosomal RNA", at positions 8 to 835 of the family's 1533-position model. The record is from RNAcentral.